CCAGACUCCUACGGGAGGCAGCAGUGGGGAAUAUUGGGCAAUGGGCGCAAGCCUGACCCAGCAACGCCGCGUGAAGGAAGAAGGCUUUCGGGUUGUAAACUUCUUUUAAGAGGGAAGAGUAGAAGACGGUACCUCUUGAAUAAGCCACGGCUAACUACGUGCCAGCAGCCGCGGUAAUACGUAGGUGGCAAGCGUUGUCCGGAUUUACUGGGUGUAAAGGGCGUGUAGCCGGGCCGGCAAGUCAGAUGUGAAAACCACGGGCUCAACUUGUGGCCUGCAUUUGAAACUGUGUUUCUUGAGUACUGGAGAGGCAGACGGAAUUCCUAGUGUAGCGGUGAAAUGCGUAGAUAUUAGGAGGAACACCAGUGGCGAAGGCGGCCUGCUGGACAGCAACUGACGCUGAGGCGCGAAAGCGUGGGGAGCAAACAGGAUUAGAUACCCGGGUAUCA
This 449-nucleotide ribosomal RNA is filed under the name uncultured bacterium. RNAcentral's name for it is "bacterial SSU rRNA". It matches the Rfam family "Bacterial small subunit ribosomal RNA", at positions 331 to 795 of the family's 1533-position model. The record is from RNAcentral.